This 794-nucleotide ribosomal RNA is filed under the name uncultured Pelagibacteraceae bacterium. Its description in RNAcentral is "bacterial SSU rRNA". It matches the Rfam family "Bacterial small subunit ribosomal RNA", at positions 44 to 886 of the family's 1533-position model. The record is from RNAcentral. Lineage: Bacteria; Pseudomonadati; Pseudomonadota; Alphaproteobacteria; Candidatus Pelagibacterales; Candidatus Pelagibacteraceae.
ACGCCUAAUACAUGCAAGUCGAACGGAGUAGCAAUACUUAGUGGCAGACGGGUGAGUAACAUGUGGGUAUCUUCCCUUUGGUGAGGAAUAACACGAGGAAACUUGUGCUAAUACCUCAUAAGUCUUUACGGAGAAAGCUUUAUGCGCCAAUGGAUGAGCCUGCACUUGAUUAGUUUGUUGGUGGGGUAAUGGCCUACCAAGACAAUGAUCAAUAGCUGAUUUGAGAGGAUGAUCAGCCACAUUGGGACUGAGACACGGCCCAAACUUCUACGGAAGGCAGCAGUAGGGAAUCUUGCACAAUGGAGGAAACUCUGAUGCAGCGAUGCCGCGUGAGUGAAGAAGGCCCUUGGGUUGUAAAGCUCUUUCGUCGGGGAAGAAAAUGACUGUACCCGAAUAAGAAGGUCCGGCUAACUUCGUGCCAGCAGCCGCGGUAAUACGAAGGGACCUAGCGUAGUUCGGAAUUACUGGGCUUAAAGAGUUCGUAGGUGGUUAAAAAAGUUGGUGGUGAAAUCCCAGAGCUUAACUCUGGAACUGCCAUCAAAACUUUUUAGCUAGAGUAUGAUAGAGGAAAGCAGAAUUUCUAGUGUAGAGGUGAAAUUCGUAGAUAUUAGAAAGAAUACCAAUUGCGAAGGCAGCUUUCUGGAUCAUUACUGACACUGAGGAACGAAAGCAUGGGUAGCGAAGAGGAUUAGAUACCCUCGUAGUCCAUGCCGUAAACGAUGUGUGUUAGACGUUGGAAAUUUAUUUUCAGUGUCGCAGCGAAAGCAAUAAACACACCGCCUGGGGAGUACGAC